RNAcentral lists this non-coding RNA (24 nucleotides) under Arabidopsis thaliana (thale cress). Lineage: Eukaryota; Viridiplantae; Streptophyta; Magnoliopsida; Brassicales; Brassicaceae. The record is from RNAcentral.
UUGCCUAACAAUGCGACAUUUGGC